Molecule: unclassified non-coding RNA, 266 nt
Filed under: uncultured fungus
Lineage: Eukaryota; Fungi
Description: partial contains small subunit ribosomal RNA, internal transcribed spacer 1, and 5.8S ribosomal RNA
Rfam family: Eukaryotic small subunit ribosomal RNA (bases 1-73)
Source: RNAcentral
UCAAGCUUGGUCAUUUAGAGGAAGUAAAAGUCGUAACAAGGUUUCCGUAGGUGAACCUGCGGAAGGAUCAUUACUGUGGGCCUUCGUCAGAAGCCCGCGAGAUAGCACCCUUGCCUUGUAUGUACCUUGCUUGUUUCCUCGGCGGGCUUGCCUGCCAAUGGGGAUCUUAAUCAACCUAUGCAGUAGUAAUUACAGUCUGAUAAUUAUCAAUAGUUACAACUUUCAACAAUGGAUCUCUUGGUUCUGGCAUCGAUGAAGAACGCAGC